UCGUUGGUGCAUUGAAAUAUAUAUUUUUUUCUGCCUUCUGGCUUACUGCUUGUAACGAGCGUGCCUGUGUGCGUUUGUAUUCAUCGUUUGCGUCUUUCUUUUAUGCACACUUUCCCACGCACUUCGUGUCUUGUCGCUUUUGCCCAACCUCGGUUAACGCCCUUGUCCCAGCUAUCCAAGGCGCAGCUCGCUUCUCCGCUGCACCGUGAACGGGCUUAGGGAAGCUUCACGGCAACUGAUCAUCGUAUCGGACAAGGACGUUGCAGUAGGUGUCCUUGCUCGCAUAGAUACCCAUUGCACCCCUCCUGGUCAGUCACGACCGCACGGUACCCCCUCCCCCCACCACCACUCGGCUCACAGAGGCAGACCAACUCACGCACACACAGGGAAAAGAAAACACGCCACGCACUGCUGCUCGUGUGGGUUACGCAGAUUGCUGUGAUAACGUCUUUUGUCGCCCACUUGUCACGUCUCUCUUUCCCCUGCCACUUGUCAUCUCUUCAUCGGAUUCGUGCUUCUUUGCUCCUUUGAUGUUUAG
This 538-nucleotide unclassified non-coding RNA is filed under the name Leishmania donovani. RNAcentral describes it as "gene:unknown". Lineage: Eukaryota; Euglenozoa; Kinetoplastea; Trypanosomatida; Trypanosomatidae. The record is from RNAcentral.